Molecule: ribosomal RNA, 455 nt
Filed under: uncultured bacterium
Lineage: Bacteria
Description: bacterial SSU rRNA
Rfam family: Bacterial small subunit ribosomal RNA
Source: RNAcentral
UACGGAAGGCAGCAGUGGGGAAUAUUGCACAAUGGGCGAAAGCCUGAUGCAGCUAUGCCGCGUGUAUGAAGAAGGCCUUAGGGUUGUAAAGUACUUUCAUCGGGGAGGAAAACAAAACUAAUAAUUUUAUUUCUUGACGUUACCCGAAAAAGAAGCACCGGCUAACUCCGUGCCAGCAGCCGCGGUAAUACGGAGGGUGCUAGCGUUAAUCAGAAUUACUGGGCGUAAAGAGCACGUAGGUGGUUUUUUUAAGUCAGAUGUGAAAUCCCUGGGCUUAACCUAGGAACUGCAUUUUGAAACUGAAAUACUAGAGUAUCGUAGAGGGAGGUAGAAUUCUAGGUGUAGCGGUGAAAUGCGUAGAUAUCUGGAGGAAUACCUGUGGCGAAAGCGGCCUCCUAAACGAAUACUGACACUGAGGUGCGAAAGCGUGGGGAGCAAAACAGGGAUUAGAUACC